AAUAGAUACCCGGGUAGUCCACGCCGUAAACGAUGAGUGCUAAGUGUUAGAGGGUUUCCGCCCUUUAGUGCUGCAGCUAACGCAUUAAGCACUCCGCCUGGGGAGUACGGUCGCAAGACUGAAACUCAAAGGAAUUGACGGGGGCCCGCACAAGCGGUGGAGCAUGUGGUUUAAUUCGAAGCAACGCGAAGAACCUUACCAGGUCUUGACAUCCUCUGACAACUCUAGAGAUAGAGCGUUCCCCUUCGGGGGACAGAGUGACAGGUGGUGCAUGGUUGUCGUCAGCUCGUGUCGUGAGAUGUUGGGUUAAGUCCCGCAACGAGCGCAACCCUUGAUCUUAGUUGCCAGCAUUUAGUUGGGCACUCUAAGGUGACUGCCGGUGACAAACCGGAGGAAGGUGGGGAUGACGUCAAAUCAUCAUACCCCUUAUGACCUGGGCUACACACGUGCUACAAUGGAUGGUACAAAGGGCUGCAAGACCGCGAGGUCAAGCCAAUCCCAUAAAACCAUUCUCAGUUCGGA
RNAcentral lists this ribosomal RNA (522 nucleotides) under uncultured bacterium. RNAcentral's name for it is "bacterial SSU rRNA". It matches the Rfam family "Bacterial small subunit ribosomal RNA", at positions 777 to 1297 of the family's 1533-position model. The record is from RNAcentral.